AGUCGAACGGUAACAGGUCUUCGGAUGCUGACGAGUGGCGAACGGGUGAGUAAUGCAUCGGAACGUGCCCAGUCGUGGGGGAUAACGUAGCGAAAGCUACGCUAAUACCGCAUACGAUCUAUGGAUGAAAGCGGGGGACCGUAAGGCCUCGCGCGAUUGGAGCGGCCGAUGUCAGAUUAGGUAGUUGGUGGGGUAAAGGCUCACCAAGCCAACGAUCUGUAGCUGGUCUGAGAGGACGACCAGCCACACUGGGACUGAGACACGGUCCAGACUCCUACGGGAGGCAGCAGUGGGGAAUUUUGGACAAUGGGGGAAACCCUGAUCCAGCCAUCCCGCGUGAGUGAAGAAGGCCUUCGGGUUGUAAAGCUCUUUCGAAAGUGAAGAAAACUUAUUUCGUAAUAUGUUAUAAGUAUGACGGUAACUUUAGAAGAAGCACCGGCUAACUACGUGCCAGCAGCCGCGGUAAUACGUAGGGUGCGAGCGUUAAUCGGAAUUACUGGGCGUAAAGCGUGCGCAGGCGGUUUUGUAAGUCAGAUGUGAAAUCCCCGAGCUUAACUUGGGAACUGCGUUUGAAACUACAAGACUAGAGUGUGUCAGAGGGGGGUAGAAUUCCACGUGUAGCAGUGAAAUGCGUAGAGAUGUGGGGGAAUACCAAUGGCGAAGGCAGCCCCCUGGGAUAACACUGACGCUCAUGCACGAAAGCGUGGGGAGCGAACAGGAUUAGAUACCCUGGUAGAAGGGC
Molecule: ribosomal RNA, 742 nt
Filed under: uncultured beta proteobacterium
Lineage: Bacteria; Pseudomonadati; Pseudomonadota; Betaproteobacteria
Description: bacterial SSU rRNA
Rfam family: Bacterial small subunit ribosomal RNA
Source: RNAcentral